RNAcentral lists this ribosomal RNA (907 nucleotides) under Curvularia papendorfii. Its description in RNAcentral is "LSU rRNA". It matches the Rfam family "Eukaryotic large subunit ribosomal RNA", at positions 37 to 962 of the family's 3401-position model. The record is from RNAcentral. Lineage: Eukaryota; Fungi; Ascomycota; Dothideomycetes; Pleosporales; Pleosporaceae.
AGCAUAUCAAUAAGCGGAGGAAAAGAAACCAACAGGGAUUGCCCUAGUAACGGCGAGUGAAGCGGCAACAGCUCAAAUUUGAAAUCUGGCUCUUUCAGAGUCCGAGUUGUAAUUUGCAGAGGGCGCUUUGGCUUUGGCAGCGGUCCAAGUUCCUUGGAACAGGACGUCACAGAGGGUGAGAAUCCCGUACGUGGUCGCUAGCUAUUGCCGUGUAAAGCCCCUUCGACGAGUCGAGUUGUUUGGGAAUGCAGCUCUAAAUGGGAGGUAAAUUUCUUCUAAAGCUAAAUAUUGGCCAGAGACCGAUAGCGCACAAGUAGAGUGAUCGAAAGAUGAAAAGCACUUUGGAAAGAGAGUCAAACAGCACGUGAAAUUGUUGAAAGGGAAGCGCUUGCAGCCAGACUUGCUUGCAGUUGCUCAUCCGGGCUUUUGCCCGGUGCACUCUUCUGCAGGCAGGCCAGCAUCAGUUUGGGCGGUGGGAUAAAGGUCUCUGUCACGUACCUCUCUUCGGGGAGGCCUUAUAGGGGAGACGACAUACCACCAGCCUGGACUGAGGUCCGCGCAUCUGCUAGGAUGCUGGCGUAAUGGCUGUAAGCGGCCCGUCUUGAAACACGGACCAAGGAGUCUAACAUCUAUGCGAGUGUUUGGGUGUCAAGCCCGAGCGCGUAAUGAAAGUGAACGGAGGUGGGAACCCGCAAGGGCGCACCAUCGACCGAUCCUGAAGUUUACGGAAGGAUUUGAGUAAGAGCAUGGCUGUUGGGACCCGAAAGAUGGUGAACUAUGCUUGAAUAGGGUGAAGCCAGAGGAAACUCUGGUGGAGGCUCGCAGCGGUUCUGACGUGCAAAUCGAUCGUCAAAUUUGGGCAUAGGGGCGAAAGACUAAUCGAACUAUCUAGUAGCUGGUUCCUGCC